Molecule: ribosomal RNA, 66 nt
Filed under: Filobasidium magnum
Lineage: Eukaryota; Fungi; Basidiomycota; Tremellomycetes; Filobasidiales; Filobasidiaceae
Description: partial 28S ribosomal RNA
Source: RNAcentral
UCUGGCCUCAAAUCAAGUAGGACUACCCGCUGAACUUAAGCAUAUCAAUAAGGCGGAGGACAAAUU